Molecule: ribosomal RNA, 216 nt
Filed under: Glomeromycotina sp.
Lineage: Eukaryota; Fungi; Glomeromycota
Description: partial small subunit ribosomal RNA
Rfam family: Eukaryotic small subunit ribosomal RNA (bases 40-216)
Source: RNAcentral
GGGUCAGUAGGUUGGUCGUGCCACCGGUACGUACUGGUCUCACUGAUUCCUCCUUCCUGAAGAACCGUAAUGCCAUUAAUUUGGUGUUGCGGGGAAACAGGACUGUUACUUUGAAAAAAUUAGAGUGUUUAACGCAAGCUAACGCUUGAAUGCAUUAGCAUGGAAUAAUGAAAUAGGACGAUCGAUCCUAUUUUGUUGGUUUCUAGGAUUGACGUA